This 497-nucleotide ribosomal RNA is filed under the name uncultured bacterium. RNAcentral's name for it is "partial 16S ribosomal RNA". It matches the Rfam family "Bacterial small subunit ribosomal RNA", at positions 28 to 507 of the family's 1533-position model. The record is from RNAcentral.
GAUGAACGCUGGCGGCGUGCCUAAUACAUGCAAGUCGAGCGGACAGAUGAGGAGCUUGCUCCUCUGACGUUAGCGGCGGACGGGUGAGUAACACGUGGAUAACCUACCUAUAAGACUGGGAUAACUUCGGGAAACCGGAGCUAAUACCGGAUAAUAUAUUGAACCGCAUGGUUCAAUAGUGAAAGACGGUUUUGCUGUCACUUAUAGAUGGAUCCGCGCCGCAUUAGCUAGUUGGUAAGGUAACGGCUUACCAAGGCAACGAUGCGUAGCCGACCUGAGAGGGUGAUCGGCCACACUGGAACUGAGACACGGUCCAGACUCCUACGGGAGGCAGCAGUAGGGAAUCUUCCGCAAUGGGCGAAAGCCUGACGGAGCAACGCCGCGUGAGUGAUGAAGGUCUUCGGAUCGUAAAACUCUGUUAUUAGGGAAGAACAAAUGUGUAAGUGACUAUGCACGUCUUGACGGUACCUAAUCAGAAAGCCACGGCUAACUACGUG